Long non-coding RNA from Ziziphus jujuba (common jujube), 2739 nucleotides. RefSeq lists it as uncharacterized. Lineage: Eukaryota; Viridiplantae; Streptophyta; Magnoliopsida; Rosales; Rhamnaceae. The record is from RefSeq and is a predicted model, not a curated record. The transcript has 4 exons.
UCAAGACUUUGUUCCAAAAAAACUAAAGAGGUCAAGCCUGCCACAGAGACGAGAGAGAGAGAGAGAGAGAGAGAGUGAGAGAGGAAGUAGGGACUAGGGAGGAGCGACUCAAAUGGCUUCAACAUCUUCAUGGAACCUGAUUCUCCAAACAAGCUCCUUGAUAGUAAGGAACGGCACUAAGGUUACUCACCGGGAGGUUUUCGACUCCUCAAGUGGUCUACUUAAGGUGGUGGCUUGUGCAGGCGUUGGCAUUGAUAACUUCAAUUUGUCCCAGGCUGAUUCCUCUAUCAAAGCAGGUUCACGUUGCUUCUUAUUCUUUGGUUUUUUAUUUUCUAACCUCUCAUUCAUGCAAUUAUUCUAGCGGUUUAUGGUGGGUUCUUUGAAUUUUUUCAUUAUUAUAAGGUUAACGUUUAGGGUUUAUGGUCUAUUGGUUUUCUAUUUUGCCUAAACUGGGUUUCGGGUAUUUGAUUGAUUUUUUUCAUUUAAUUCGAAGACACCGCACACUGGCAAACUGUUCCAGUACAUAGUCACAACUUGACGUGCCUUUUCCCUUAUUCCUUUCAAGUGGAUAUGCAUUUCAUGUUCAGGGAAGUGGCAGUGAAACAAGCAUGUAGGGACGCAUAUAGGUGGGAAAACACUUGCAAUAAUGGUUGGAUCAGGAAGUUGCUCGGCGUGAAAGGAGCUUAGUAUGCAUGUUAUUGCACACGAUCCAUAUGCCCCUGCGGAUCGUGCACACUCAGUUGUUGUGGAGCUGGUGGCCUUCAACGAGGCCAUAUCAACUGCAGAUUUCAUUUCCAUGCGCAUGCCUCUCACCGCUGCUACAUCCAAAAUGUUCAAUGACGAUGCUUUCUCUAAGAUGAAAAAUGGAGUACGAAUAUUUAAUGUUGCUCAAGUUGGAGUGAUUGAUGAAGAAGCCUUAUUUAGGGGCCCUGGAUUCUGGAUUUGCUGCUCAAGUUCUGUUCUGUUAUUAAGGAUCCUCAUUAACUAAUUCAAGUAAACAACAUCUAAAGAGUUAGAUUUAUUCUUUUUCGUUUUCUGGCUGCACUUGAUGUCUUCACUGACGAGCCUCCUCCAAAUGACGGCAAGUUGGUGCAGCAUGAAAAUGUUACUGCAGCUCCUCAUCUUGUGCUAGCACUACAAGGGCUCAGGAAGGUGUGGCUAUUGAAAUUGCUGAAGCUGUUCUUGGGGCUUUGAAAGGGGAGCUCUCCGCAACUGCUGUGAAUGCAGCCAUGGUCCCUGAUAUGCAGGUGGAUUUGUCUUCAUGUAUGCUGCUUAAUCUAGGCCAGAGUCCACCCAUAUCCUUGAAAUGCAAAUGAAUGGCUGUUCUUCUUUUGGCUGCACACAUUAGAAAAUUUGUCUUCAUGUAUGCUGCUUAAUCUAGGGCAGAGUCCACCCAUAUCAUUGAAAUGCAAAUGAAUGGCUGUUCUUAUUUUGGCUGCACACAUUAGAAAAUAAAGGCAUUAGUGGGCAAAACUCUGCAGCGUACACCCUUAUAACUAGAGCCGUGGUAACUCCAUCUCCAUGUGCUUUUUCCCUAGUUCACGGUUCUUAUCAGAACUAGCACCGUUUGUUACCUUGGUAGAAAAGCUGGGCAGACUAAUUUUGCAAUUGGUUGCACAAUUAGUCUGUAUCAGGAAUUUGGUUACACGAUUGGGAAAUUUAUAUUCAAUAAACCGUUAUCCUUGUUACUACCCUGUUGUUGGUAGUUUCUGGUUCGUUUUUCGUAUGCCAACCCCAACUAAUUAACUACCAACAUAUUUGAAAGACAGCCACUAAAAACUUUUGUAAAACACUUCUUGCUGGGGAAGAGACUGCUGACUAGAGGCCUAGUUGGCCUUACUGGGUCAAAUGUAGACACUCUGUAUCUUUGGGAGAAAGAGUCACUUGGAUACCAAGUUCUUGAAAAUUUUCCGAACUGGGGCUUUUUAUUAUUAUUAUUAAUUAUUAUUGUAACCAACAAAGGCCAAAGCUAUUACAUCUUUGGCAUGUUAUACCAUACAAUAGGGCAAGUCCAGAGAGACUAUCAAUUACGUGUCCAGACCAUUGAAGAUGUUAGCCACGUUGCAAGGAGGAGUGGCCAACUCACAGAGGACGUGUCCCGACCAGGUAUUCGCUACCUGUUGGCUACAGCAAUGAAAUUGUAUUAUAUGAAUUGAUUCAGGGAGCAAUGCAACAUAAGGGAGGGGAGGUGUACCUUUGACAACUAACCAUGACAGUCAGACUUAAAACUCUGCUACAACAAACAUCAGACUGCAGCAUGAGUGUUACGAAUGGAAGUGAAGAGAUAAAGGAAGAAGGUGCGAUCGAGACCAAGGUGGAGGCGGUAGAUUACGGUUCACCUGCAGCUAAAGACCAACAACCCCACAAAGAAAAUGCAAGUGCGGUUCAUCCGACUCGCAAGGGACCUGGUUCACCCAGAGGCCGUGGUGGUGGUGUCCUAGCCGAUGCAGCUCAAGCAGUUGGAAAAACCUUUCAAUCUGUGAAGGAUACCAGUUCUGGCGGUGGGCAAAGAUGAAAGCAAACAAUGAUGCCUUCCAACAUGCUUGGAAUUUGUUAUCGGGGAAUGCAAUUGUUAGACUUUGUCUUGGGAUUAUAGCUCGUAAUUUCAAGCAGCAUUUUAAAAUAUAUGGAAUUGCUUGGUAUUUGUUUGUUUUGUUUAGAAUUUUCUUUUCCGCGGGCUUAAAUAUUACUGUAUUUGUUCCUCUGUAACGUGGAUUAUAGUACUUGUUGUUGAUUAAA